GCCAUGUCAUGCUGUCGAAACUUUUAUUGAUUUGGUGGGAUAUUGAUUAGUCACUACAGUGGUGGGUUUCCGUGGACCAGCCAAUUAGAGAGGGGCACGGUAAACCCAGUUAUAUGUUACCUCAAUACGAGAUGCGGAAGGUAUCUCCUGAGGUAAAGCUUUAGAGUUCACUUCACGUCGAACCACCAAGUGAGGGUGAACUCAGCCAACGCCAAGGAACGACUAUGUUUUAAAACGUACAAAUAUGAUUUAUGGAUAUAUGUUUUUUCUUUAACAGCCUUGGCGGACUCGGUUGGAUGCCUUUGAUCAAGGUAUCCUUGAGAAUGAGUUUUGGCACAAGCCAAGUUUUUAAGAAAUUCAUAAGCCAUGUUGAUUAUUUUAGUGAAAUGAAUUUAUUUUAUUUAGUUGAAAUGAGUUUGAAACGUUAUGAAUCAUAGUACGAUGAACUAUUUUAAGUUGUCUCCAUUUACUCGACUUUAGAUAUUUUAGAUGAUAUUUGUUUACUCACUGAGUUUAUAUAAACUCACCACCCUGCUUUCCACUCAUUCCAAGCUCAGAACAAUAAGUAAAUAGCUGAUUACAUCAAGGGUUAUUAUUGGACUUGCCUCCUCAGAAAUUGUAGGUCCACAGCCUUUAUUACCUUUGGUCAUUCAGGGACCCACACGUCAUUGUAAAUUAAAUUACAUACUCUGGUUAUCUGUGUUACCGUAUAUAUGAAUUUAUUUUGCUUUUAUGUUGUAAAAAUUUUUCAUGUAGCGUUUUAUAAAUAUUGUUUUAUAAGAAAAUGGAAUAUUUUAUUUAAUAUUUUUAUUUUAUUCUAUUAGCUACAAUUUCACUCUAAAUGAAUGUUUUAGACAAAAAAACUUGUUUUUAGUUAUGAAAUGUGUAUUUUCCCCCAUGUGUUAUAUUUUUAGCAAGUUUCAAAACUUUUAGAAAAAAUGACCAAAAUGCCCUUGUGAGAUAAAAAUUAUUUUUUUUAUUUUUUUAUUGUUUCGUUUUGGAAAUAGCUUAUAAUCUUUUAAAAUAUGAUGUUUAGUCAUUAUUGCUCACAGGGGAGGUGUGAAAACUAAUAUUAAGCCUUUCGAGGUUUCGGUUGGUAUUUCG
RNAcentral lists this long non-coding RNA (1104 nucleotides) under Theobroma cacao (cacao). RNAcentral describes it as "long non-coding RNA (TCAC_LNC001720)". Lineage: Eukaryota; Viridiplantae; Streptophyta; Magnoliopsida; Malvales; Malvaceae. The record is from RNAcentral.